AUGGGAGAACGUGUAGCGUUGGAAUUAGAAUUAAGAUUGUUAAAUGACGUAGCUUUUAUAGGUAUAGAAAACAGUGGAAAAACCUCUUUAUGUAGUAGUCUUAGUAAUUAUUUUGGUAAUAUAAACAAUGAUAUUUAUACAACUACCAUUCCUCAUGUAUCUUAUAUUAAUUAUAUUGAUGGAGUGGAAAUACCAUUAUUAGAUACUCCAUUUUUAUUUUACAAUGCACAUAAAGAUAAAGAAAGAGGAAAAAGAAUUUUAAGACAUUUAUAUCGAACUAAAUUAAUAGUUUAUGUAAUUGAUGUAUCUAAUGAUCAGUUACAAAAUAUAGACGAUUUGCAAUUUGAAGAUUAUUAUAUGACUACUUUGAAAAAAAAUAUAAAUAAUAAUAAUUAUGAAGAAGCAGAAAAAGACGAAGAAGAAUUACGCACAAUAUUUAAUAACAAUGAUACUACUACUUUUACUGGUGAAGUUAAAACGAUUAAAUUUGAUUCUCCAGAGGAACUACAUCCUGAUGAACAAUACGAAGAUUCUUAUCAAAAUAAUAUAUAUACAAAGCAAAGUGAUUUAUAUUAUGAAGCUGUAGUAAAUACUAAUCAAAAUGGAGUUAAUAACAACGGAGUUAAUAACAACGGANNNNNNNNNNUAAAAAUGAUAGGAGAAAACAAAAGAGAGAGAGAAAACAACAAUUUGAAAAAUUAUUAUAACGAUACAAUUAAACAAAUAAAAAUGUUAAGAAAUGAAUUAUUUUUAUACAAUCCUGAAUAUUUAAAAAAAAAAGAAUUAGUCGUAGCAACGAAAUGUGAUAUGUUACAUAAAAAUACCUUAAUCAAUUUAGAUUCUUUAUAUUUUCGAUUGAAAAAUAUUUUCCCUGAUAUAGAAGUUAUAGGUACAUCGGCAAAAUUUGGAUUAGGUAUAAAACUGUUAAGUAAAAAAAUAAGAGAACUUAUUUAUCCGCAACAUGUAUUACAAAAUACAAAAUUAUAUGCAAAAAAUAUUGAAGACUAUGUUAUACCAUCUUAUGAUCAUUAUAUUAAAGGAAAAAAUAAAUUAAAAAAUUAUGAUCUACCUGAUCAUAUUAAACAUAUGUAUGAUCAUAAUUAUAUGGAAAAUAUGAAUUUCUUUUUAAAAAAAAAAAAAAAAAAACCGGUGUCAACAAUGACGAGAGGUUACAAAUAG
RNAcentral lists this long non-coding RNA (1179 nucleotides) under Piliocolobus tephrosceles (Ugandan red Colobus). Its description in RNAcentral is "lncRNA (ENSPTEG00000002004.1)". The record is from RNAcentral. Lineage: Eukaryota; Metazoa; Chordata; Mammalia; Primates; Cercopithecidae.